CAGAACUGAAACAGAUAAACAUCAUCUUUGCCAAGUGGCAACUGCAAAAGUUUAAGGGUUUUGAUCGGGACUAGAGGAGAUUGCGAAAGUGAAGGGAUGAAGAUUUUAUAAUGUAUAUUUAUAAUUAAUAAUGAACAAAGAGAAAGAGACAGAAAGAGGAACAGAAGGAGGAGGAAGAAAAAGAGAAGAGAGGGAGAGAAAGAGAACAAGUAAACACUUGUUACAGAGAGAGACAAUUAAGAAAAUUUACUUGAUUUUAAAAUUUAUAAAGAAACAAAGAACUGGGCAAUUCCAGCUAUUCAGGAGAUUGCAACAGGAGGAUCGCAAGUUCAAGGCCAGCCUGGACAAUUUAGUGAGAAUCUGACUCAGCAUACUACAGGGACACAGCCACAUCAAUGUUUAUAGCAGCACAAUUCACAAUAGCUAAACUGUGGAACCAACCUAGAUGCCCUUCAGUAGAUGAAUGGAUAAAGAAAAUGUGGUAUAUAUACACCAUGGAAUAUUAUUCAGCAAUAAAAGAGAAUAAAAUCAUGGCAUUUGCAGGUAAAUGGAUGGAGUUGGAGAAUAUAAUGGUAAGUGAAGUUAGCCAGUUCCUAAAAACCAAAUGCGAAUGUCUUCUCUGAUUUAAGGCUGCUGAUUCAUAAUGUGGUGGUCGGG
This 657-nucleotide long non-coding RNA is filed under the name Marmota monax (woodchuck). Lineage: Eukaryota; Metazoa; Chordata; Mammalia; Rodentia; Sciuridae. The record is from RNAcentral.